GACGAACGCUGGCGGCGUGCUUAACACAUGCAAGUCGAACGGAAAGGCCCUGCUUUUGUGGGGUGCUCGAGUGGCGAACGGGUGAGUAACACGUGAGUAACCUGCCCUUGACUUUGGGAUAACUUCAGGAAACUGGGGCUAAUACCGGAUAGGAGCUCCUGCUGCAUGGUGGGGGUUGGAAAGUUUCGGCGGUUGGGGAUGGACUCGCGGCUUAUCAGCUUGUUGGUGGGGUAGUGGCUUACCAAGGCUUUGACGGGUAGCCGGCCUGAGAGGGUGACCGGCCACAUUGGGACUGAGAUACGGCCCAGACUCCUACGGGAGGCAGCAGUGGGGAAUAUUGCACAAUGGGCGGAAGCCUGAUGCAGCAACGCCGCGUGCGGGAUGACGGCCUUCGGGCUGUAAACCGCUUUCGCCUGUGACGAAGCGUGAGUGACGGGAAUGGGUAAAGAAGCACCGGCUAACUACGU
This 467-nucleotide ribosomal RNA is filed under the name uncultured bacterium. RNAcentral describes it as "partial 16S ribosomal RNA". It matches the Rfam family "Bacterial small subunit ribosomal RNA", at positions 28 to 506 of the family's 1533-position model. The record is from RNAcentral.